RNAcentral lists this ribosomal RNA (801 nucleotides) under uncultured bacterium. RNAcentral describes it as "bacterial SSU rRNA". It matches the Rfam family "Bacterial small subunit ribosomal RNA", at positions 80 to 900 of the family's 1533-position model. The record is from RNAcentral.
AUAAUUGUCAGCUAAGUGGCGCACGGGUGAGUAAUGUAUAGAUAACCUGCCCUUAAGAAAGGAAUAACAGUUGGAAACGACUGCUAAUGCCCUAUAUGCCUUUAAUACAUAAGUAUGCAAGGGAAACGCUUUAGUGCUUAAGGAUGGGUCUGUAUGGUAUCAGCUUGUUGGUGAGGUAAUGGCUCACCAAGGCUAUGACGCCUAACUGGUUUGAGAGGAUGAUCAGUCACACUGGAACUGAGACACGGUCCAGACUCCUACGGGAGGCAGCAGUGGGGAAUAUUGCACAAUGGGGGAAACCCUGAUGCAGCACCGCCGCGUGGAGGAUGACACAUUUCGGUGCGUAAACUCCUUUUAUAUAGGAAGAUAAUGACGGUACUAUAUGAAUAAGCACCGGCUAACUCCGUGCCAGCAGCCGCGGUAAUACGGAGGGUGCAAGCGUUACUCGGAAUCACUGGGCGUAAAGAGCGUGUAGGCGGGUAUAUAAGUCAGAAGUGAAAUCCAAUAGCUCAACUAUUGAACUGCUUUUGAAACUGUAUACCUAGAAUGUGGGAGAGGUAGAUGGAAUUUCUGGUGUAGGGGUAAAAUCCGUAGAGAUCAGAAGGAAUACCGAUUGCGAAGGCGAUCUACUGGAACAUUAUUGACGCUGAGACGCGAAAGCGUGGGGAGCAAACAGGAUUAGAUACCCUGGUAGUCCACGCCCUAAACGAUGUACACUAGUUGUUGUGAGGCUCGACCUUGCAGUAAUGCAGUUAACACAUUAAGUGUACCGCCUGGGGAGUACGGUCGCAAGAUUAAAAC